UAAUUCACAUCCAAAUUAUAUAGCUAAAAGCAGGUAAGAUCUUCAAGAGGAAUUGUAUCUUCAGAAAAAGUGGGGAGCUUAGAAAAAGGAAAGGAGGGUCACUCCAGAGAAGAGAAUAAAGCUGGCAAGACACAAAUAUAGUAGGCUUCCUUUAGGGUAUGAAGUACACUUUGCAUUGGACUAGGGGUGGACAAAGGGAACCCAACCAAAGUCAAAUACCAAGCAAAAGAAAGGAACCUUUGAAGGCUGGCAACACAAAAGCAUCACAAUGAACGGCCACAACAAUGUCAGCAUCACAAUAAGUUAAUGCGAUGGAAGGUGACAAGCGCUGGUAGAUGCGAUAACUCACAAUAAGUUCUGCAAUGGAAUGUGCAAUGGCUUCUAAAGAAAGAAGCCAUCAGAUAAUGAGACUGAUGUAACUUCUCAAAAAGAAAAUAUACUUCUUUUUAUUCA
Molecule: non-coding RNA, 453 nt
Organism: Musa acuminata subsp. malaccensis (wild Malaysian banana)
Lineage: Eukaryota; Viridiplantae; Streptophyta; Magnoliopsida; Zingiberales; Musaceae
Source: RefSeq, a predicted model, not a curated record